GCCGAGCUACAAAAGAUACGAGAGAAGUUUCAGGAUUCCGUUCACGAAGCUACUGGUGAUCCUGACUACCGACCUAACCCGCUUUCUCCCAGGGAUGUCUCCGAUCUACUCUUUAACAAACUCCGGCUCGUGGGAAGAGGCGCAUCAACCAACGAUGAGAAUCGCCAGCGUAUGUACAAAGACCAUAGAACUUCGAUGGCCGCACGGCGAGUACUUGAUAACUUGGAGAAGUAUAAAGAAGAAUCCAAGUUCCUCUCAACCUACGUCAAAACCGCCAUUGAUCCUGACAACAGAAUUAGAUGCGAAUGGAAACAGACAGGUGUACAGAAAGCCCCUGGAAGGUUAAGUUCUGCUAAAGUACCGUGGGGACAUUACAAUGGCAGAGAGUAUAUCCAACAUGGUAUGAAGCUACAGAACCAGCCCCCGCGAGCUAAGGAUAUGUUCAUUGCAGAUGAAGGUUAUGCCUUCUUCUACUUUGA
Molecule: unclassified non-coding RNA, 479 nt
Filed under: plant metagenome
Description: partial contains 5.8S ribosomal RNA, internal transcribed spacer 2, and large subunit ribosomal RNA
Source: RNAcentral